This 80-nucleotide microRNA precursor is filed under the name Ovis aries (sheep). RNAcentral's name for it is "miRNA (ENSOARG00000021928.1)". Lineage: Eukaryota; Metazoa; Chordata; Mammalia; Artiodactyla; Bovidae. The record is from RNAcentral.
CUGAAUUGGCCAAAAAGUUUGUUUGAGUUUUUCUGUCACACUGUAUGUUAAAACGCAAAUGAACUUUGUGGCCAAGCCAA